AACGAACGCUGGCGGCAGGCUUAACACAUGCAAGUCGAACGGAUCCUUCGGGAUUAGUGGCAGACGGGUGAGUAACGCGUGGGAACGUACCCUUUGCUACGGAAUAACUCAGGGAAACUUGAGCUAAUACCGUAUGUGCCCUACGGGGGAAAGAUUUAUCGGCAAAGGAUCGGCCCGCGUUGGAUUAGCUAGUUGGUGGGGUAAUGGCCUACCAAGGCGACGAUCCAUAGCUGGUCUGAGAGGAUGAUCAGCCACACUGGGACUGAGACAUGGCCCAGACUCCUACGGGAGGCAGCAGUGGGGAAUAUUGGACAAUGGGCGCAAGCCUGAUCCAGCCAUGCCGCGUGAGUGAUGAAGGUCUUAGGAUUGUAAAGCUCUUUCACCGGUGAAGAUAAUGACGGUAGCCGGAGAAGAAGCCCCGGCUAACUUCGUG
RNAcentral lists this ribosomal RNA (433 nucleotides) under uncultured bacterium. RNAcentral describes it as "partial 16S ribosomal RNA". It matches the Rfam family "Bacterial small subunit ribosomal RNA", at positions 29 to 507 of the family's 1533-position model. The record is from RNAcentral.